This 1382-nucleotide ribosomal RNA is filed under the name uncultured bacterium. Its description in RNAcentral is "bacterial SSU rRNA". It matches the Rfam family "Bacterial small subunit ribosomal RNA". The record is from RNAcentral.
GAAUUCGCCCUUAGAGUUUGAUCCUGGCUCAGAACGAACGCUGGCGGCGCGCCUAACACAUGCAAGUCGAACGAGCGAGAGAGAGCUUGCUUUCUUGAGCGAGUGGCGAACGGGUGAGUAACGCGUGAGGAACCUGCCUCAAAGAGGGGGACAACAGUUGGAAACGACUGCUAAUACCGCAUAAGCCCACGGCUCGGCAUCGAGCAGAGGGAAAAGGAGCAAUCCGCUUUGAGAUGGCCUCGCGUCCGAUUAGCUGGUUGGUGAGGUAACGGCCCACCAAGGCGACGAUCGGUAGCCGGACUGAGAGGUUGAACGGCCACAUUGGGACUGAGACACGGCCCAGACUCCUACGGGAGGCAGCAGUGGGGAAUAUUGCACAAUGGGGGAAACCCUGAUGCAGCGACGCCGCGUGGAGGAAGAAGGUCUUCGGAUUGUAAACUCCUGUUGUUGAGGAAGAUAAUGACGGUACUCAACAAGGAAGUGACGGCUAACUACGUGCCAGCAGCCGCGGUAAAACGUAGGUCACAAGCGUUGUCCGGAAUUACUGGGUGUAAAGGGAGCGCAGGCGGGAAGACAAGUUGGAAGUGAAAUCCAUGGGCUCAACCCAUGAACUGCUUUCAAAACUGUUUUUCUUGAGUAGUGCAGAGGUAGGCGGAAUUCCCGGUGUAGCGGUGGAAUGCGUAGAUAUCGGGAGGAACACCAGUGGCGAAGGCGGCCUACUGGGCACCAACUGACGCUGAGGCUCGAAAGUGUGGGUAGCAAACAGGAUUAGAUACCCUGGUAGUCCACACUGUAAACGAUGAUUACUAGGUGUUGGAGGAUUGACCCCUUCAGUGCCGCAGUUAACACAAUAAGUAAUCCACCUGGGGAGUACGACCGCAAGGUUGAAACUCAAAGGAAUUGACGGGGGCCCGCACAAGCAGUGGAGUAUGUGGUUUAAUUCGACGCAACGCGAAGAACCUUACCAAGUCUUGACAUCCUGCGACGGUGCUGGAAACAGUACUUUCCUUCGGGACGCAGAGACAGGUGGUGCAUGGUUGUCGUCAGCUCGUGUCGUGAGAUGUUGGGUUAAGUCCCGCAACGAGCGCAACCCUUAUGGUCAGUUACUACGCAAGAGGACUCUGGCCAGACUGCCGUUGACAAAACGGAGGAAGGUGGGGAUGACGUCAAAUCAUCAUGCCCUUUAUGACUUGGGCUACACACGUACUACAAUGGCGUUAAACAAAGAGAAGCAAGACCGCGAGGUGGAGCAAAACUCAGAAACAACGUCCCAGUUCGGACUGCAGGCUGCAACUCGCCUGCACGAAGUCGGAAUUGCUAGUAAUCGCAGAUCAGCAUGCUGCGGUGAAUACGUUCCCGGGCCUUGCACACACCGCCCGUCA